GUGAGGAAUAUUGGACAAUGGGCGCAAGCCUGAUCCAGCCAUGCCGCGUGAGUGAUGAAGGCCUUAGGGUUGUAAAGCUCUUUCAGUGGGGACGAUAAUGACGGUACCUACAGAAGAAGCCCCGGCUAACUUCGUGCCAGCAGCCGCGGUAAUACGAAGGGGGCUAGCGUUGUUCGGAAUUACUGGGCGUAAAGCGCACGUAGGCUGAUAUUUAAGUCAGGGGUGAAAUCCCGGGGCUCAACCCCGGAACUGCCUUUGAUACUGGGUAUAUUGAGUAUGGAAGAGGUCAGUGGAAUUGCGAGUGUAGAGGUGAAAUUCGUAGAUAUUCGCAGGAACACCAGUGGCGAAGGCGGCUGACUGGUCCAUUACUGACGCUGAGGUGCGAAAGCGUGGGGAGCAAACAGGAUUAGAAACCCGAGUAGUCC
RNAcentral lists this ribosomal RNA (425 nucleotides) under uncultured bacterium. Its description in RNAcentral is "partial 16S ribosomal RNA". It matches the Rfam family "Bacterial small subunit ribosomal RNA", at positions 354 to 796 of the family's 1533-position model. The record is from RNAcentral.